This 90-nucleotide transfer RNA is filed under the name Gemmatimonadota bacterium. RNAcentral describes it as "Gemmatimonadetes bacterium tRNA-Met". It matches the Rfam family "tRNA". From Rfam's summary of the family: Transfer RNA (tRNA) molecules are approximately 80 nucleotides in length. Their secondary structure includes four short double-helical elements and three loops (D, anti-codon, and T loops). RNAcentral also lists the same sequence under 1 other name. Lineage: Bacteria; Pseudomonadati; Gemmatimonadota. The record is from RNAcentral.
AGCGGGGCGGAGCAGCGGCGUGCUCGCCGGUCUCAUAAGCCGGAGAACCUUCGGGUCAUUGCGUGGGUUCGAGUCCCACCCCCGCCACCA